CCCACACAACCCAUGGCUUACCCGCAAGCGUGUGAGAAGGCACCCGCAUGUUAAGCUCGUGUAUGUGUGUGGCCAAGGCAUUACGCACACCCUGCAAGAGCACAGAAGUGUGCAGGAGAAGCUCUGCAUGUGUGCAGCAACACACAUGCAUGCAAACAGCUGAUCGCACGCCUAGAGACCUGUGCAUGCAUAACCCAUACCCGGAUGACAGACCUGCCCG
RNAcentral lists this long non-coding RNA (220 nucleotides) under Carica papaya (papaya). RNAcentral describes it as "long non-coding RNA (CPAP_LNC012414)". The record is from RNAcentral. Lineage: Eukaryota; Viridiplantae; Streptophyta; Magnoliopsida; Brassicales; Caricaceae.